CCUACGGGGGGCAGCAGUAGGGAAUAUUGCUCAAUGGGGGAAACCCUGAAGCAGCAACGCCGCGUGGAGGAUGAAGGUUUUAGGAUUGUAAACUCCUUUUGUUAGAGAAGAUUAUGACGGUAUCUAACGAAUAAGCACCGGCUAACUCCGUGCCAGCAGCCGCGGUACUACGGAGGGUGCAAGCGUUACUCGGAAUCACUGGGCGUAAAGAGUGCGUAGGCGGGGUAAUAAGUCAGAUGUGAAAUCCUGUAGCUUAACUACAGAACUGCAUUUGAAACUGUUACUCUGGAGUGUGGGAGAGGUAGGUGGAAUUCUUGGUGUAGGGGUAAAAUGCGUAGAGAUCAAGAGGAAUACUCAUUGCGAAGGCGACCUGCUGGAACAUUACUGACGCUGAUGCACGAAAGCGUGGGGAGCAAACAGGAUUAGAUACCCGGGUAGUC
This 440-nucleotide ribosomal RNA is filed under the name uncultured bacterium. RNAcentral describes it as "partial 16S ribosomal RNA". It matches the Rfam family "Bacterial small subunit ribosomal RNA", at positions 338 to 795 of the family's 1533-position model. The record is from RNAcentral.